Zeugodacus cucurbitae (melon fly) is the source of this 3333-nucleotide long non-coding RNA. RefSeq lists it as uncharacterized. NCBI's taxonomy places the organism in Eukaryota, Metazoa, Arthropoda, Insecta, Diptera, Tephritidae. The record is from RefSeq and is a predicted model, not a curated record. The transcript is spliced from 3 exons.
CAACUGUUUUGCCCUCUAGCUCAUGAUGAUAAAAGGUUACAAUAGCACCUAAACAAUGUCGUUUCAGUUCUUCCCGGGCUUGUGUUGAGCAAAAGGUUUAAUUGCACGUAAAAAAGUGACAUUAAACCUAAUAUCUGGUGUGUAACAGAGAGCUGCAACGGGUAUAUCAUUUUCGUGCACACUCGAAUGUCCACUCUGAUUUUGUUUGAUCAAACUUUUCGGUUAAGCCGCUGUUGUAUAUAAAUACGGAUCCAGUCCCCGUUCAAGCUCCUGCUCCGUUACAUGUGGCAUCUUCUGCUUCCACUCCUCCAGCACCAGCUACCUCCCCAACAGCCACAUCGCCUGUAGCGAUUUAAAUCCUGCUCGUCACUCCACCGAUUUAUCUUCCUCACCAUCACCCCUCAUUUCACUUCUAAUUAAAUCUUCUCCAGUUUUAUCCUCUCCUUCCGUAUCUCCUCCCAUCUUGCCUUCUUCUAUCCCAUGUCCGUCCGCUUACAUCCCUUCUGAUGGGAAAUUGGCUGCAGCGAAAAUACAUGGAACAGUGCUGAAAAAAAUGGAGGACCGCCAAAAGCGAGAGGAAGAGGCUAUUGCUCCACAAAGGAAAAUUGUAGAGCAAAAUCAGCAAAUGACAAGAGUUGCAAUUGCUCUAAAAAAAAUGGUAGAGCAAAACGAGCAGAUGACGGGAGUGCUCAACCAAAUUUCACAAGCACUAAUCUUGUUUUCAGAGGUUAUGUGUAAAUUGUGUGAUAAAAUAAAUAAAUACAUCCUACCUAAUAUUGGGGUUUUCGAAAUCAAUUCCUGUGUCCUGUGAUUCUUCUAAAACUUCUUCGAAAACAAGGUCUGCAGCCACUGUAAAAUGUUGUGAAGAAUUGUCAGAAGCCAGAGAACUUACUCGGGAUGAAGCUGCAAUCGUAAGCUCAAAGACAUGAUACCUUCCACACUUCCGUAUGACAAACGUUAAUAAGCCUGGUAAACAGUGCCUAGUAUUUGAUGCCACCGCCCUUGUCAAUGGUCGUUCACUAAACAGUUAAAGGUAGCAAUAUCAGCUAAUGUCGAUGUUACUAUGAAUUUUGAGCGCCGUUUCAGUCUCUGUCGACAUUAAAGAUAUGUUUCUCCAAAUUUAGAUCAAAGAAUAGAAAGGAUACGCCCAGAAAUAACAGCCUAGUCACAUUAGCAGUAGAACGCGUGCAUGGAAUUUAUUGGCAAAUCAACGAUUUAUUUAGCUAUUGAUUUAAAUUUCACAACACAGUUCCAGUCGAACUAACGAAGAACUAUUAAGCUUAUUUAUGCGCUUGGAAUCCUGUCCAAAUUUAUAGUGAACGCAAAGCUACAUGUACGCGAAUCGUGGCGUUACUAUCUGCGAUGGGAUGAGCCUCUGAAGGUGCCUAUACAUCAACAGUGUUCAUGGUUAACACUCACAACCAAUGAUGCAUCAAUUGUCAAAGGACCGAUUAACGCUGUUUAUGAGGCUAAUUUCCUACACGGGAAUUUAUUAUUAUGGUCAAGUUAAAGGAGCGAUUGUUCGACGUAAAGAGAAGCAUUGUUUACGUGCCUAACAAUACGAACCAUUCACCUGGAAGUCGCAGCCAAUAUUUUAACAGGUGCAUUUCAUACUUGUAAUUUGAAACAUUAUCAAUCGUCGCAGUUUGCCUGUGAGAAUUCGGAAUGAUAACUUUAAGAAUAUCGUCGAAGCCAAUUACGAAGGAAAACGAUUUCACGAAAUAUUUUAUUGUUCAGGACGAUCUUGACGUGAGAGGAGUCGAGUGGAUCUUCAACGGUCCAAACAUUCCUGCAGGUGCGUGAAACUCAUUCUCAAUAUAAUACUUAGAGAAGUUGUGCCACGGGAACGCACUCAGCAGAGUUUGGUAAUUGAAGCCGAAAUAUCGUCAACUCCAGAGCACUCACACUCCAACCUGUCGCUAUUAUGCCAAAUGCCGAACACACGUCCGUAGUCGAGAAUCCAGUCAAAAACACAUGCGCACUGUGUAAACAGUGACCCGCCAGUUAAAUGACAUGUUCUGGCGACGAUGGAUCCUCGAAUACUUGUCAACGCUCAUAUAUCGAGCAAAGUGGUGGAAAAGGUCAAAGACACUUCAGGUGAGUGACCAGGCGGUCGUAUGCGCUGGAAAAUGACGCGUAAGUAGUGGUACUGAAUUGUGCAUCGGAUCGAUUCACGAAGGAGGCGAUGCAACAAAACGGCAACUACUUGUAACGCCAUCUUGAAUUAUCGCUAUUGGUUAUUAGCGUAGUGUCCAUUUGUCUCUGUCGUUCAGUUCGGUGUCCUCAGUUGUAAGACACCGAUCGCAACUCAACUGUCAAAAAUUUUACAUGUGAAAGCAACAACAAAGUUAUCUAAUGUUUAAUGAAUACCUCAUUAAAAAUUCGAUCACCGCUUGCUGAGUGCUACCAAGUUUUGUUUUACAGAUUUUAGAACCAUUUUAAUAUUGUGAACAGCCCAAAAGACAAAUUACUGUCAAAAUAAUAAUAACACUGUGAUAGUCAAAAAAAAAGGCAAGACCAAAUUCGACGGUUUCCACCUAUUUCGGGUCCUACGAAUCGAACUGCAUCAUUACUUUUUUGAGUUACAAUCAUGGUUUCAUACAAAAUUUUUUUUUGAAGUUUUUCAUCAAAGUGGCCCAUUGUAAGAGAAAGGCACUUUUUUCUUCGGUCUCUAACUUUUUAAUGUUGACUUUUUUGGUAAACUUUCUUUGGCAAAGCUUCUCAGAAUAAGUCCGUCUUUAAGUUCUUAGAUGACUGUAAACCCCAAAAUCAAUGUUUUUUGUGUCCUUAUAGCCAAUAUGUAAAAAAAAACUGAAAUUUAAUCCAUUUUUUUAAUGUUUUUGCCCUCAGGUUUCGUCAAUAUUUUAAUUUACCCUUUGAUACUUAUACAUUAAGUGACACCCCAUCACAUUAUAAACCAUUGCUUAGGAAUGCACCGGUCUGAAGAUUGGAAAAAAUAUGUAUAUGACAUGGUAGACGCUUUUGAAGAAAUAGGUGUGAAUAUGUCCUUAAAAAUUUAUUUCUUUCACCAUCACAAGGACCAUUUUGAGCAGCAAGUUCCGACUGAAUCCGAUGAGCAUGGAGAAAGAUUUCAUCAAGUCGCCGCCCCCUUGAGCAUUGGUACAGCGGAAAAAAGCUUGACUCGUUGCUUGCUGAUUUGUGUUGGACAUUGAUAGAUGUCUUAUUAAAUUUAAUUUAAAUAUUGUGUACAAAUUUAUGAUACUUAUUGAUAACAGUUAUAAGAUACAAAAAGAAUAAAAUAGCAUACAAACAUAGUUAGUGUAGCUUUUUUAAAAAAUACAAAUUUUGUUAAGUUUCUAAGAACUUAAAGAC